UACGUAGGGUGCAAGCGUUAAUCGGAAUUACUGGGCGUAAAGGGCUCGUAGGCGGCCAACUAAGUCAGACGUGAAAUCCCUAGGCUCAACCUAGGAACUGCGUCUGAUACUGGAUGGCUUGAAUCCGGGAGAGGGAUGCAGAAUUCCAGGUGUAGCGGUGAAAUGCGUAGAUAUCUGGAGGAAUACCGGUGGCGAAGGCGGCAUCCUGGACCGGCAUUGACGCUGAGGAGCGAAAGCUAGGGGAGCAAACGGG
This 253-nucleotide ribosomal RNA is filed under the name uncultured bacterium. RNAcentral's name for it is "partial 16S ribosomal RNA". It matches the Rfam family "Bacterial small subunit ribosomal RNA", at positions 524 to 776 of the family's 1533-position model. The record is from RNAcentral.